UAAUACGUAGGUGGCAAGCGUUGUCCGGAUUUAUUGGGUUUAAAGGGUGCGUAGGCGGUCUUCUAAGUCAGUUGUGAAAUACUUCAGCUUAACUGGAGAGGUGCAAUUGAUACUGGAAGACUUGAGUACUGAUGAGGUAGGCGGAAUGGACGGUGUAGCGGUGAAAUGCUUAGAUAUCGUCCAGAACACCGAUAGCGAAGGCAGCUUACUAAGGAGUAACUGACGCUGAGGCACGAAAGUGUGGGGAUCAAACAGGAUUAGAUACCCUGGUAGUCCACACUGUAAACGAUGAUUACUCGAUGUUGGCGAUACACAGCCAGCGUCUUAGCGAAAGCGAUAAGUAAUCCACCUGGGGAGUACGCCGGCAACGGUG
RNAcentral lists this ribosomal RNA (373 nucleotides) under uncultured bacterium. Its description in RNAcentral is "bacterial SSU rRNA". It matches the Rfam family "Bacterial small subunit ribosomal RNA", at positions 521 to 896 of the family's 1533-position model. The record is from RNAcentral.